CGUACAGAACCUUCCUUUAAGUGGGGGAUAGCCCAGAGAAAUUUGGAUUAAUACCCGUAAUAUUGUUGAGUGGCAUCACUUGAUAAUUAUAGAUUUAUCGCUUAGAGAUGGCUGUGCGGCUGAUUAGGUAGUUGGUGUGGGUAACGGCCUACCAAGCCAUCGAUCAGUAACUGGUGUGAGAGCACGACCAGUCACACGGGCACUGAGACACGGGCCCG
RNAcentral lists this ribosomal RNA (218 nucleotides) under uncultured bacterium. RNAcentral describes it as "partial 16S ribosomal RNA". It matches the Rfam family "Bacterial small subunit ribosomal RNA", at positions 116 to 334 of the family's 1533-position model. The record is from RNAcentral.